GGAAGCAUUUGGAAAGUCAUCUUAUUUCCUCUUAUAGUGUCAUCUCCAGAUGCCUCUGUGUGAGGCAAGUUAAUAAGGCAGCCUUUCCGGGAAGAGGGGGGCAUAAUACCAGCCGCCAUUACUGAGCAGACAGCAUGGACCAGGGACUCUCCUAGAGAUUCUGAUGUAAUGAACUCAGGAUGUGCGGCCGAGGCUGAGACCCCUUGCAGAUGGACAUGUGCGAAGUGUCUGGAGCAUAGGGCAGGAGGAUUCAUUGGCUGGGGGGUGACAGGACAUGACAGCUUUGAGCUAAGAUUUGAAGGAUGAAUAGGAGUUUCCCAGACACACAAAUCAGUUGAUGAAUUGCUUCGCUUGAAGUGGCAGUGCCCAUACUGUGCCAGCCUCUGGGGAUGCAAAGAGGAAUAAAGCCACCCCUUGACCUUAUGGAGACACACAUGGAAACAGCCAUUUGUGAUCAAAAGUGGCAAAUGUGUAAACCCCCCACCAAAUGGAAGAUGUUAGCUGCUGGAUGCCCAUGAGCACAUAGCCGCAGGCCUCCAGGAGCCUAAGGA
Long non-coding RNA from Physeter macrocephalus (sperm whale), 551 nucleotides. RefSeq lists it as uncharacterized. The transcript is spliced from 4 exons. The record is from RefSeq and is a predicted model, not a curated record. Lineage: Eukaryota; Metazoa; Chordata; Mammalia; Artiodactyla; Physeteridae.